AUUUUUCACUCGUCAACCGGCUGCAGAUUUCACUCGGCCAACUUCGGUUACUCCUCUACACCAAACCAUGUUUCCAAACAGAGUUAUCUUUCCGUGACCCGCAAAUUAUAUUUUUAACUGGUUUGCUUUUGGCGCAAUAUUCUGAUGUUUAGGCUAACACUGUUUUUAACGGCGUCAGCUUCUUAUAUUUAUUGGGCUACAAACACUAAACAGUUGUCUUUUAUUUUCUGAGGAGAUUUUCUGACCUGGGUAAUUGUUCAUCAAUAGUGGUUUUGAUUUUUCACUUGGAUUGGUGGAAGAAGGUACCAUACAAUACUAUACUACUGUACUGUGUUAGAUUGUUCAGCGUAAAUUGGUUUCAAAGACCUUUCCAGUACGCCACGGUAUUCAGUAUAAUCUAAGGAAAUUAAAACAGAAGAAAAGUAUAGAAAAUAUUUCCAAUUAUCUAUCUUGAGAUCACAGAGAUUGAAUGCUGCAGGUCUUGUGUUUAGUGUAUAGACUAAUUGGUGGAUGUUAUUAACAUUAACCUUUUAGCAAAGGUUAGCUUGAUGAUGUUACUGACUUUGCAGUGUAGUGGAAGAUGUUAACCUAACUUUGGUAGACAACAAGCCUAACCCUGAAGUCAACGAUGUACAAUAUGUCAGUGUCACGGUUCCACUACCAAACGUAACGCGAAUAUAAACAAUACUUACGGGUACAUGUAUUUACUUUGAUUGAAAUGAGGUCAACUUAAAAAUUUGUGUAGAUGUGUUAUUUGUUGUAACAGUUAUAUCCAUAAAAGUUAUAUCCAUAAAAUGUAAA
This is a long non-coding RNA of Patella vulgata (common limpet), 801 nucleotides long. RefSeq lists it as uncharacterized. The record is from RefSeq and is a predicted model, not a curated record. NCBI's taxonomy places the organism in Eukaryota, Metazoa, Mollusca, Gastropoda, Patellidae. The transcript has 4 exons.